Carassius gibelio (silver crucian carp) is the source of this 1804-nucleotide long non-coding RNA. RefSeq lists it as uncharacterized. Lineage: Eukaryota; Metazoa; Chordata; Actinopteri; Cypriniformes; Cyprinidae. The transcript is spliced from 3 exons. The record is from RefSeq and is a predicted model, not a curated record.
GAUGAAUUGGGAUAUCUCUUAGAUUGACCCAUAGGCGGAACCAAAGCAGCCAAAUGUAGCUAUUAAACAUCAUAAACCCAUCUUUUUAGGUAACAACCAGACAUGGGUGUCAUUUAGGCUAAUAAAAUAUGUUUAAUAGGACUGAAUUCGUAUUAAACGUGAUUACAAUUCAAUAAAAACAUUGGAAAAAGUGAUAACAAGGCUAUAUAACGUUUCCUUCAUAGCUAUGAAAACAGUGAAUAAAUUAUAUAUAGAAAGUGACAUUAUCACUGAUUAUAAUCUAUCACAAGUUUAAGCACUUGUGAUAGAUCAAAAAACCAUUGAAGCUGUAUACGCUGUGAAAUGAAUCUCAUGUACGCGCAUCUGCGCUCUGUUGCUUAUGCUGGGAGAAUUCGCGGAAUUCAGUCAGAGAAAACACUCAAAACUGAUGAGGUUCAGCGAUGACUCAUCUGAAAUGCGGUUCAACAUGAGCAGAUCUUAAAAUAGCUCUCUGCCCACAUACACUGGAAUAAAAUGAUUAAAAAAUGGUCUCAAUUUACAGAAACCCCUCUGAAUUUGAACACAGUGGUGGCAGAUUGCAUAUAUUAUAUUGUAUAUAUUCACAAUUUUAUGAUAAACACAUAUAAUCCAAACUAAGACUAAUAAAGGUUUUUGGCUGCAUUACAUGUUUUGAUCUGCACAUCUGAGACAUAUUACAGUGUCGUUUAGCUAUGCAUGCUCACAGACACGUGAAAAUAGUCUAAUUUUGAAGACAACAACCGAAAUAAUUAGCUGUUCAGAGGAGUCAUUUCAAUCUUUAUGAUUCUCUUUGAUAAUUAUGUUAAUGUAAAGUGUGUAAUCAGUAAAAUAAAUGACAUAUUUAUAUUCUUGAGAGUGAGAGCUAUGUUUGGCGAGUUUGUGGUGUCAACUACUCCAAGAGGUAGUUGACACCAUCACUUCAGCAAGAGCACCGUAUACAAGACACGCUUAAACUUUGAAUUGGAACCUGUUCAACCCUGAGGCCCCAGACCGGCUAUAACAAAACUGUGGUUGAACCCUGGACCAGUGAGUUUGACUUAGAUUAUUUUCGUCUUUUCUUUUUUCACUCAAUGUGGUUUAAGAGGUGUGUAAGUUAAUUUGACUUGCAGCGGAGGAGAGAUGAUAGUGGUGCUAAUAUGGGAUGGAUCGUGUUGCCAUAGAACCGCUCAGUUCUCAGUCCAAGGACAUGAACAGCUCUAAGUAGAACUUGGAUGCAGCUGACAAGACAGACUCCAGUAAGAAUUCUCAGCGUUGAUUAAGCAAGUUCACAUUUAACCCAUCAAGAGUGGGAAUCAUCUUGGCAGAAAAUUUUGUAAUGGAUGAACCGACUGAUCUCAGGCCUUCCAUGUCCAUUUUUCAGACUGAUUAUGGCCUGCACCUGGACUAAGUGUAUGAAAAGCACUCUAUGUUUUAUUCAGCAGGUAAUGCUCAACUUCAGAAAAGGUGAAUUGACUCCUAAAAUUCAGUACUGCCAAUAUUGUGAACUCGGAGAGGAAUAAAACCAAAUAGUUUAGAUGCCAUUUGUUGUGAUUCUGAGAUAAACUGUUUUAUAUUAGUUUAACAUUAAAAAAAAAAAUGUUUUAUGGGGAAAUGUUUUCAAAUAAAAAAAAAAUCAUGUUUUUUUGUGUUUUUAAAUUAACAUUUGGAAUUGAAUUUAAAUAAAAAAAUUGCAUCAAUUUUCCUUCAUUUGUUUGCUUUUUUACAUUUUCUAUUUUUCUAGUGAAUCAUUACCCUAAUUUUUUUUAAUGGAUGAAUUAAAAAAAAAUUCACAAUCUCAAAUACAUAA